Molecule: ribosomal RNA, 322 nt
Filed under: uncultured Euglyphida
Lineage: Eukaryota; Cercozoa; Imbricatea; Euglyphida
Description: bacterial SSU rRNA
Rfam family: Eukaryotic small subunit ribosomal RNA (bases 112-322)
Source: RNAcentral
GAUUUCUGGCUUGAAACAUUUUGCCGGCCACGGUUUCGUGUGUUAGUGCUUGAUGUUCUGGCCAUCCUUUCAAUCGCUAUUGGCUAUUCUUCACUGAAUGGUCAGUAGUAUUGAAUCUUUUACUUUGAAAAAAUUAGAGUGUUUCAAGCAGGCUUUAUGCUAUGAAUACAUUAGCAUGGAAUAAUAAUUUAGGACUUCGGUUCUAUUUUGUUGGUUUCUAGGACUGAAGUAAUGAUUGAUAGGGAUAGUUGGGGGUGCUAGUAUUCAGCGGCCAGAGGUGAAAUUCUCGGAUUCGCUGAAGACUAACUUAUGCGAAAGCAUU